GUCGAGAAUCAUUCACAAUGGGGGAAACCCUGAUGGUGUGACGCCGCGUGGAGGAUGAAGGUCUUCGGAUUGUAAACUCCUGUCAUGUGGGAGUAAAGCCGGGUGUUAAAUGCAUGCCGGUCUGAGAGUACCACAAGAGGAAGGGACGGCUAACUCUGUGCCAGCAGCCGCGGUAAUACAGAGGUCCCAAGCGUUGUUCGGAAUCACUGGGCGUAAAGGGUGCGUAGGCGGCGCGGAAAGUCAGGGGUGAAAUCCCGGAGCUCAACUCCGGAACUGCCUUUGAUACUCCCGCGCUUGAGAACUGGAGGGGAGACCGGAAUUCACGGUGGAGCAGUGAAAUGCGUGGAUAUCGUGAGGAACACUAGUGGCGAAGGCGGGUCUCUGGACAGUAUCUGACGCUGAGGCACGAAGGCCAGGGGAGCGAACGGGAUUAGAAACCCGAGUAGUCC
RNAcentral lists this ribosomal RNA (449 nucleotides) under uncultured bacterium. RNAcentral's name for it is "partial 16S ribosomal RNA". It matches the Rfam family "Bacterial small subunit ribosomal RNA", at positions 354 to 796 of the family's 1533-position model. The record is from RNAcentral.